GAUGAACGCUGGCGGCGUGCCUAAUACAUGCCAGUCGAGCGAACAGACGAGGAGCUUGCUCCUCUGACGUUAGCGGCGGACGGGUGAGUAACACGUGGAUAACCUACCUAUAAGAUUGGGAUAACUUCGGGAAACCGGAGCUAAUACCGGAUAAUAUAUUGAACCGCAUGGUUCAAUAGUGAAAGACGGUUUUGCUGUCACUUAUAGAUGGAUCCGCGCCGCAUUAGCUAGUUGGUAAGGUAACGGCUUACCAAGGCAACGAUGCGUAGCCGACCUGAGAGGGUGAUCGGCCACACUGGAACUGAGACACGGUCCAGACUCCUACGGGAGGCAGCAGUAGGGAAUCUUCCGCAAUGGGCGAAAGCCUGACGGAGCAACGCCGCGUGAGUGAUGAAGGUCUUCGGAUCGUAAAACUCUGUUAUUAGGGAAGAACAAAUGUGUAAGUAACUAUGCACGUCUUGACGGUACCUAAUCAGAAAGCCACGGCUAACUACGU
RNAcentral lists this ribosomal RNA (496 nucleotides) under uncultured bacterium. Its description in RNAcentral is "partial 16S ribosomal RNA". It matches the Rfam family "Bacterial small subunit ribosomal RNA", at positions 28 to 506 of the family's 1533-position model. The record is from RNAcentral.